This 258-nucleotide ribosomal RNA is filed under the name uncultured bacterium. RNAcentral describes it as "partial 16S ribosomal RNA". It matches the Rfam family "Bacterial small subunit ribosomal RNA", at positions 96 to 354 of the family's 1533-position model. The record is from RNAcentral.
UGGCGGACGGGUGAGUAACGCGUGGAAAACCUGCCGUAUACUGGGGGAUAACACCUAGAAAUAGGUGCUAAUACCGCAUAAGCGCACAGCUUCGCAUGAAGCGGUGUGAAAAACUCUGGUGGUAUACGAUGGUUCCGCGUCUGAUUAGCUAGUUGGUGGGGUAAUGGCCUACCAAGGCAACGAUCAGUAGCCGGCCUGAGAGGGUGAACGGCCACAUUGGGACUGAGACACGGCCCAAACUCCUACGGAAGGCAGCAG